GCCUUCGUGGUGUAGUGGUCAGCACGCUCGACGCGUAACCGAGAGGUCCAUGGUUCAAUUCCCGGCGAAGGCG
RNAcentral lists this transfer RNA (73 nucleotides) under Stegodyphus mimosarum. It matches the Rfam family "tRNA". Rfam says of the family: Transfer RNA (tRNA) molecules are approximately 80 nucleotides in length. Their secondary structure includes four short double-helical elements and three loops (D, anti-codon, and T loops). Lineage: Eukaryota; Metazoa; Arthropoda; Arachnida; Araneae; Eresidae. The record is from Rfam by way of RNAcentral.